AAAUAAUGCUUAUUGACCUAUAGCAAUAAAAAUAGGACCUAGAGAAUAAAAUAAUUCGUAGAUCCCCUUUACUCAUGUGAACACAUAACAAGCAUAAAUUGUGGUGUACUUACUGUUAUGAAAAAAUUGAAAUGAAUUGUUAAACCGUUUAAACGAAUUUCUUUAUAUUUAAAAGUAAUUCUUUAAUGCAAAUAAUUUUAAUAUUUUUUCUAUCAAUUAUUUAUAUGGGUCUUGCCAAUUUUUUGCUUUGACAUGAUGAUCCAAAAAACAAUCAUGGCCCUAGCUAGGAAUCACAUAUUUUAAAGAAUAACUAUCAAAUUAGUUUUUAGACCUUUAGGAAUAACUUUGGCCCCAUUGAUAGAAUUUGUAGAAGCCAUCAACCAACAUAACUACUUUGGGAUCAGCUUACCGCAAAUAUGUGAUAAAGGUUAAUAAAAAUAAAUAAACUUUUUGAGAGAGAAAGCAAUUAUGGAUGAUAUUAUAUGAUGACAUUUUAUUUAAAAAAUUGGGUAAGUGCUUGAAACGAAUAAGAAAUUUUAUGUAUUUUUCCCUAUCAUUUCACAAGAUUUGAGAAAAUAGAUAUGAGGAAUUAAACCUAUUGAAAAAGAGAAUUGGUGUGAAAAAUCAAACCUAUUGACAAAUAAAAUUUGUAUAAAUCAUAUAAUGCUAGGUUUUUAAAUUUUUAAAUUUUGAAUUAUUAUCCUGAAAAAAGGAUCAAUGUAACAUUUUUAACAUGAUCCUAUAAAUCAUAAUCAAAUGAACAUAGAGUAAAAAUCUUUGUUGAUGGAUGCAAAAGAAUCAACAAUGAUAUAUAGGCCUAAAAGAAUAGGAUUUGUGGCUCCCUACACCCACUUAUUUAUACAUACAUAUACGCACAUGAUAAUUAUUUGGAUGAAAACAAGAUGAUCGCAUAUGAAGUUACCAUACAUUAUAAAGAGCAUCAAAUAAUACAAUUGUUCCUUGCGGCCCACAUAAAAAAGAAUAUCGCGUCUCUUCUCUAUAUAAAGGUGAGCAAGCAUGACAUUAUUGUUUGCAAGUGAGACAGUUAGUUGCUUGGAGUUCACAGAAGAACUUGAUAUCAACUCAAGGAGAAUAUAAUAUAAUACCCUAUAAUUAAAGAUGGCUAGCAUUAAGCAAUGUAAGGAGAUGAUAGUGAAGUUUAGUAACAAUGUUCAAGAUACCAUUAGUGUUAAGCUCAUCAAAGAAGAUGGAGAAGAUCCAGUAGAUGUCUAUGGAAGAAUAGCAGGUCGCUUCGGCAUCGGUUCUGAGUUUGUAUUAUUCAAUAAGACCCAAAGUUAACGUAUUGAGGUUAGGUCUGGGGAAUUCAUUCCCUUAGAAAGGGAUGAGGUGGUUGUGCCUGCAGAAGCGAGCGAAUUGAACUCGAGAUUACAGUGUACUUGAUGGAUUAUGAUACUGUUUCUCCUGACGAUGAAAUUGCAAAUGGUAAAGUGGUGCUUCUAGUCAAAUCUGCCGGUGAAAGUGAUCAAAAAUCCAUUGCUGGCAAGUAUGGCUCAAUUGAAGUCAAUCUAGUUUGGGGUUGAACCUAAUUGUGAUGGUUCUCAAUUAAUCUCGGUGCAGUGUUACUAGCUAGCUAGUAUAACUAAAUAAAACAUGGGUUCUCAAUCCCUGCAUUAGUUUUCACAUUUCCUAUACAAUCAUGUACUAUUUAAAUAUAAUAAUAGACCACGAAAUAUGCAGGUCUUUUUUUGUCU
Beta vulgaris subsp. vulgaris (sugar beet) is the source of this 1712-nucleotide long non-coding RNA. RefSeq lists it as uncharacterized. The record is from RefSeq and is a predicted model, not a curated record. The transcript has 2 exons. Lineage: Eukaryota; Viridiplantae; Streptophyta; Magnoliopsida; Caryophyllales; Amaranthaceae.